Molecule: ribosomal RNA, 583 nt
Filed under: uncultured bacterium
Lineage: Bacteria
Description: partial 16S ribosomal RNA
Rfam family: Bacterial small subunit ribosomal RNA
Source: RNAcentral
UGGGGAAUAUUGCACAAUGGGCGCAAGCCUGAUGCAGCCAUGCCGCGUGUGUGAAGAAGGCCUUCGGGUUGUAAAGCACUUUCAGCGAGGAGGAAGGUGGUGAGCUUAAUACGCUCAUCAAUUGACGUUACUCGCAGAAGAAGCACCGGCUAACUCCGUGCCAGCAGCCGCGGUAAUACGGAGGGUGCAAGCGUUAAUCGGAAUUACUGGGCGUAAAGCGCACGCAGGCGGUUUGUUAAGUCAGAUGUGAAAUCCCCGGGCUCAACCUGGGAACUGCAUUUGAAACUGGCAAGCUAGAGUCUCGUAGAGGGGGGUAGAAUUCCAGGUGUAGCGGUGAAAUGCGUAGAGAUCUGGAGGAAUACCGGUGGCGAAGGCGGCCCCCUGGACGAAGACUGACGCUCAGGUGCGAAAGCGUGGGGCAGCAAACAGGAUUAGAUACCCUGGUAGUCCACGCUGUAAACGAUGUCGAUUUUGGAGGUUGUGCCCUUGAGGCGUGGCUUCCGGAGCUAACGCGUUAAAUCGACCGCCUGGGGAGUACGGCCGCAAGGUUAAAACUCAAAUGAAUUGCGGGUCUAGCUGUUCC